UACGUAGGGUGCGAGCGUUAAUCGGAAUUACUGGGCGUAAAGCGUGCGCAGGCGGUGAUGUAAGUCAGGUGUGAAAUCCCCGGGCUCAACCUGGGAACUGCAUCUGUGACUGCAUCGCUGGAGUGCGGCAGAGGGGGAUGGAAUUCCGCGUGUAGCAGUGAAAUGCGUAGAUAUGCGGAGGAACACCGAUGGCGAAGGCAAUCCCCUGGGCCUGCCCUGACGCUCAUGCACGAAAGCGUGGGGAGCAAACAGG
Molecule: ribosomal RNA, 253 nt
Filed under: uncultured bacterium
Lineage: Bacteria
Description: partial 16S ribosomal RNA
Rfam family: Bacterial small subunit ribosomal RNA
Source: RNAcentral